CGGCAGCUUACACAUGCAAGUCGAGCGGAGUGAUGGUGCUUGCACUAUCACUUAGCGGCGGACGGGUGAGUAAUGCUUAGGAAUCUGCCUAUUAGUGGGGGACAACAUUUCGAAAGGAAUGCUAAUACCGCAUACGUCCUACGGGAGAAAGCAGGGGAUCUUCGGACCUUGCGCUAAUAGAUGAGCCUAAGUCGGAUUAGCUAGUUGGUGGGGUAAAGGCCUACCAAGGCGACGAUCUGUAGCGGGUCUGAGAGGAUGAUCCGCCACACUGGGACUGAGACACGGCCCAGACUCCUACGGGAGGCAGCAGUGGGGAAUAUUGGACAAUGGGCGCAAGCCUGAUCCAGCCAUGCCGCGUGUGUGAAGAAGGCCUUAUGGUUGUAAAGCACUUUAAGCGAGGAGGAGGCUACUGAAGUUAAUACCUUCAGAUAGUGGACGUUACUCGCAGAAUAAGCACCGGCUAACUCUGUGCCAGCAGCCGCGGUAAUACAGAGGGUGCAAGCGUUAAUCGGAUUUACUGGGCGUAAAGCGCGCGUACGCGGCUAAUUAAGUCAAAUGUGAAAUCCCCGAGCUUAACUUGGGAAUUGCAUUCCAUACUGGUGAGCUAGAGUGUGGGAGAGGAUGGUACAAUUCCNGGUGUAUCGGUGAAAUGCGUAUAGAUAUGUAGUAAAANAAAUGGCGAA
This 683-nucleotide ribosomal RNA is filed under the name Acinetobacter calcoaceticus. RNAcentral describes it as "bacterial SSU rRNA". It matches the Rfam family "Bacterial small subunit ribosomal RNA", at positions 40 to 719 of the family's 1533-position model. Lineage: Bacteria; Pseudomonadati; Pseudomonadota; Gammaproteobacteria; Moraxellales; Moraxellaceae. The record is from RNAcentral.